RNAcentral lists this transfer RNA (73 nucleotides) under Halosimplex pelagicum. RNAcentral's name for it is "tRNA-Pro". RNAcentral also lists the same sequence under 2 other names. Lineage: Archaea; Methanobacteriati; Methanobacteriota; Halobacteria; Halobacteriales; Haloarculaceae. The record is from RNAcentral.
GGGAUCGUGGGGUAGCUUGGUAACCUUCAGCGUUUGGGACGCUGUACCCCCAGUUCAAAUCUGGGCGAUCCCA